This 234-nucleotide ribosomal RNA is filed under the name uncultured prokaryote. RNAcentral's name for it is "partial 16S ribosomal RNA". It matches the Rfam family "Bacterial small subunit ribosomal RNA", at positions 524 to 757 of the family's 1533-position model. The record is from RNAcentral.
UACGUAGGCAGCGAGCGUUGUUCGGAAUUACUGGGCGUAAAGAGUGUGUAGGCGGUGCUCCCAGUCUGUUGUGAAAUCUCCCGGCUUAACUGGGAGGGUGCAGCGGAAACUAGAGUGCUAGAGGGUGGGAGAGGUAAGCGGAAUUCCAGGUGUAGCGGUGAAAUGCGUAGAUAUCAGGAGGAACACCUGCGGCGAAGGCGGGUUGCUGGGCCGACACUGACGCUGAAGUGCGAA